GAUGAACGCUGGCGGCGUGCCUAAUACAUGCAAGUCGAGCGAACAGACGAGGAGCUUGCUCCUCUGACGUUAGCGGCGGACGGGUGAGUAACACGUAGAUAACCUACCUAUAAGACUGGGAUAACUUCGGGAAACCGGAGCUAAUACCGGAUAAUAUAUUGAACCGCAUGGUUCAAUAGUGAAAGACGGUUUUGCUGUCACUUAUAGAUGGAUCCGCGCCGCAUUAGCUAGUUGGUAAGGUACCGGCUUACCAAGGCAACGAUGCGUAGCCGACCUGAGAGGGUGAUCGGCCACACUGGAACUGAGACACGGUCCAGACUCCUACGGGAGGCAGCAGUAGGGAAUCUUCCGCAAUGGGCGAAAGCCUGACGGAGCAACGCCGCGUGAGUGAUGAAGGUCUUCGGAUCGUAAAACUCUGUUAUUAGGGAAGAACAAAUGUGUAAGUAACUAUGCCCGUCUUGACGGUACCUAAUCAGAAAGCCACGGCUAACUACGUG
RNAcentral lists this ribosomal RNA (497 nucleotides) under uncultured bacterium. RNAcentral's name for it is "partial 16S ribosomal RNA". It matches the Rfam family "Bacterial small subunit ribosomal RNA", at positions 28 to 507 of the family's 1533-position model. The record is from RNAcentral.